RNAcentral lists this ribosomal RNA (252 nucleotides) under uncultured bacterium. RNAcentral's name for it is "partial 16S ribosomal RNA". It matches the Rfam family "Bacterial small subunit ribosomal RNA", at positions 525 to 776 of the family's 1533-position model. The record is from RNAcentral.
ACGGAGGGUGCAAGCGUUAAUCGGAAUUACUGGGCGUAAAGCGCGCGUAGGCGGUUUGUUAAGUCAGAUGUGAAAUCCCCGGGCUCAACCUGGGAAUGGCAUUUGAGACUGGCAGGCUAGAGUAUGGUAGAGGUGAGUGGAAUUUCAGGUGUAGCGGUGAAAUGCGUAGAGAUCUGAAGGAACAUCAGUGGCGAAGGCGACUCACUGGGCCAUUACUGACGCUGAGGUGCGAAAGCGUGGGUAGCAAACAGG